UACGUAGGGUGCAAGCGUUGUCCGGAAUUAUUGGGCGUAAAGAGCUCGUAGGCGGUUCGUCGCGUCGGCUGUGAAAACCCGGAGCUCAACUCCGGGCCUGCAGUCGAUACGGGCGGACUUGAGUGUUGCAGGGGAGACUGGAAUUCCUGGUGUAGCGGUGAAAUGCGCAGAUAUCAGGAGGAACACCAGUGGCGAAGGCGACUUCCUGGGCUGUUCUUGACGCUGAGGCGCGAAAGCUAGGGUAGCAAACGGG
This 253-nucleotide ribosomal RNA is filed under the name uncultured bacterium. RNAcentral's name for it is "partial 16S ribosomal RNA". It matches the Rfam family "Bacterial small subunit ribosomal RNA", at positions 524 to 776 of the family's 1533-position model. The record is from RNAcentral.